RNAcentral lists this ribosomal RNA (464 nucleotides) under Vreelandella stevensii. Its description in RNAcentral is "partial 16S ribosomal RNA". It matches the Rfam family "Bacterial small subunit ribosomal RNA", at positions 338 to 795 of the family's 1533-position model. The record is from RNAcentral. Lineage: Bacteria; Pseudomonadati; Pseudomonadota; Gammaproteobacteria; Oceanospirillales; Halomonadaceae.
CCUACGGGAGGCUGCAGUGGGGAAUAUUGGACAAUGGGGGCAACCCUGAUCCAGCCAUGCCGCGUGUGUGAAGAAGGCCCUCGGGUUGUAAAGCACUUUCAGUGAGGAAGAACGCCUGGUGGUUAAUACCCAUCAGGAAAGACAUCACUCACAGAAGAAGCACCGGCUAACUCCGUGCCAGCAGCCGCGGUAAUACGGAGGGUGCGAGCGUUAAUCGGAAUUACUGGGCGUAAAGCGCGCGUAGGUGGCUUGAUAAGCCGGUUGUGAAAGCCCGGGCUCAACCUGGGAACGGCAUCCGGAACUGUCAAGCUAGAGUGCAGGAGAGGAAGGUAGAAUUCCCGGUGUAGCGGUGAAAUGCGUAGAGAUCGGGAGGAAUACCAGUGGCGAAGGCGGCCUUCUGGACUGACACUGACACUGAGGUGCGAAAGCGUGGGUAGCAAACAGGAUUAGAUACCCGUGUAGUC